Molecule: transfer RNA, 85 nt
Filed under: Eremospatha wendlandiana
Lineage: Eukaryota; Viridiplantae; Streptophyta; Magnoliopsida; Arecales; Arecaceae
Also listed under: 3 other names
Description: tRNA-Tyr
Source: RNAcentral
UAGGCCGAGCUGGAUUUGAACCAGCGUAGACAUAUCGUCAACGAAUUUACAGUCCGUCCCCAUUAACCGCUCGGGCAUCGACCCA